GAUAAUUUUAUUUUUCAAAACCCCCAGACUCAUUCUCCUCGACAUCCUCUCCAUCAGCACUUCCGGUCAUCUCUUUCAUCCCACUCCCACUCCCACUCCCACUCCGUCCUUCCCUCGUUCGCCGCAUCUCCUCCCACGUCCCCCAACACGACUUCUUCUUUUCUGGCGUCGAACGCCCGCAUCUCCAUCGGAACCGUACUCCGCUUCCUCUCUUCCUCCUCCUCCUCCUCCCUUCGUUUUGGCCCCGAUCGCCGGGAACUAGGGUUAGGGUUUCGUUUUCAAUAUCGAUUUGGAGGUGUGAUCAGUGUUUCGCUUCGAACUUCAGUUUUUGUGCUUUGCAUCGUCGAUGGCGGUGGGCUGAUGCUUUUCAUUCUCGUUUGGCGCCGGUCGGGUGAGCAGUGACCUCUUCUCCGCCGCAUCAUCGUCGCCGGAACCCUAGAUUUGGGAGGCACGCUCCCAGUGCGCCGUGCCAGUGCAAAUGUUGUCAAAAUAUGCUGUUCCUUCUGGAGAGUGGCCUGAUUUAUUGCCUUUUCUUUUCCAAUGUGGACAAAGUUCACAAGAGGAUCAUAGAAAGGUGGCUUUGAUACUUUUCAGUUCUCUGACAGAAACAAUUGGGUCGGUUCCAGUCCCAUUUGACAAAUCUACAACCUUUACUUUUGAAAUGUUUGCAAGAUGAGAGCAGCACACGCGUUAGAGUUGCUGAUCUGAAGUGGCUGUUGGAUCUUUUAUAGAGUUCAUUAAUGAAGGCAAUGAUGUGAUUUUCGAUGAAGUUCUUGGUUCUGGUAGAGAUGUUCCAUGAUGCUUGCUUUGCACUAGACAAAUUUUACAUGAUGUCAUGAUCCUAGAACUAUCACCUAAGAAAAGAAACUAGUAUGGCCUCAGGAGCUGGGGGCGGAUUGCUGUCAUAAUCGAUGGGUUGCCUUCAUGGCUGUGGAUGAUGAUGACUUGUCAAUUCCCAAGCUGAUCACUUGACAGAAAGUGAUACACCCAAUUGAUCUUUUGCCAUUAGAUGAACUAUAAUAUCCAAUACAAUGAAGUAGGAAAUGAGUUCAAAAUAGCUAACUCAUUUCCUACUUCAUGUUUGAAUAAGUUCUGGAUUCAUCUGUUUAUGGAAUAUCUGUUCACAUUAUGGGCUUGCUUUAUAAUUUACAAGCAGUAUUACAAUUAUGGCUGGAGCCCUGCUUUGACAAUAUCGAAGGUGUUGGUAGCCAUCAGAUCUGUUUUCACCACCCCAGAUCCAUAUAAGCCAGUUAUGCCAAACAUUGCUCGUCUAUACCUAACAGAUCGAGCUAAACAUGAUGAAAUUGCGGCAGAGUGGACAAUGCGAUUUGCCAGAUAGAAUAUUCAGUUGUAUAACAACAAAUUCACUCAUGUCUUUGCUUGUAUUACAGCAUUCCAGUCCACCUGAAUAUCAGAAAAAGCUACUUUGACUGGUGUGUCCUUAGCGAACAAAUGGACUUCAUGCGCACAUCUAUUCCUACGACACCACCAAGAGAAGAGGUAGAGUGCAGGUAAUUAGAUUGCUGCCAGAUGCCGUCGGUACUACCUGCAGUAAGCAUCUUGAGAAGGUACUUGGAACAGAAUACACUCACAUUCUUUGUGUUCCAUUUAGAACAGAGAAGGGAAUUGCCCGUAAAGGGUCUCUCACUUUGAAGUAUGGCCUUACCUAGAGACAUACAUCGAAGUUUUUAUUUCUGCGACUGUUAGAUGCCUGAAUAUCGUGAAAGCUGCAUUUUAAUUGAUGCAUCUCUAAUGGUGCUUUGUUCUGUGCUCGCUAUCAGGAUGUUGCCAAUGAGUUGGUCAGAGAAUUGCAGGAGACUCCUGAUUUGAUGAUUUGAAACUAUAGUGAUGGCAAUUUAGUAGCAUCAUUGCUUGCUCAUAAAUUAGGAGUUACUCAGGUCCAUAUCCUAGCAUGUUUUUGGCAUGUAAACUCAUGACAUGCAUGAAUUCCACAUUCUAAUUUGGUUCAUCAUUUUAAUUUAUGCCGUGUACCUGGAGAAAAUAAAGUACCCAAAUUCAGAUAUAUAUUGGAAGAAUUUCGAAGACCAGUACCAUUUCUCUUGUCAAUUCACAGCUGAUUUGAUUAUGAUGAACCAUGCCGACUUCAUCAUCAGAGAUUGCUGGAAGGUAUUAGCUUGUUCCUUAGCAGCUUAGUUAUACUUGCAGCUUAAUUGUUUUUAGCAACGAUAUAGUGGGCCAAUACAAGUCACAUAUAUACUACCUUCACUAUUCCUAAGCUAUAGCGUGUGGUUCAUGGCAUCGAUGUCUUUGCUACAAAGUUCAACAUUGUGCCUCUUGGUACUGAUUUGUCCAGUUACUUCCCCUAUACGAAACAGAACAAUAGCAACCCCUGCUUCAGUUGCAGAAGCCCCCAAGAAAUCAAAGAAGUGAGCCAAGAAGACCUAAAAUUGCUAGAUAUCAUAACUAGAACUAGAAAAUUAAGCUUGUUUGAAAUUUUAUGGAAGGAUAUUUGUUUUAUAUAUGUUUUGUUUGUUUAUGGGAGAUAUCUCUAUUACUGCAAUUUUUUGAUACAGACUCAUCCAUAACCUUAU
This is a long non-coding RNA of Dioscorea cayenensis subsp. rotundata (Guinea yam), 2552 nucleotides long. RefSeq lists it as uncharacterized. NCBI's taxonomy places the organism in Eukaryota, Viridiplantae, Streptophyta, Magnoliopsida, Dioscoreales, Dioscoreaceae. The record is from RefSeq and is a predicted model, not a curated record. The transcript is spliced from 10 exons.